Triticum dicoccoides is the source of this 993-nucleotide long non-coding RNA. RefSeq lists it as uncharacterized. The record is from RefSeq and is a predicted model, not a curated record. NCBI's taxonomy places the organism in Eukaryota, Viridiplantae, Streptophyta, Magnoliopsida, Poales, Poaceae. The transcript is spliced from 5 exons.
AGCCAUCCCUCCCUCGGGCCGGCCAUGAGGAAUUGAAGCGGCUUGAGCAGAACUAGCGCAUGGACCAUGCGUGCCUCCCGCGCUAGGAGCCACCGGUCCUCGUCAUCUGCUAGCAUCCACGAGGAAUCGAUCCAUAUAAUGUUUGAGGGGAGCUCGGUUAGUGUCAACACCUCAUGGAUUUAUGCAUAUCAGUUCAUUUUGCUUAAAGCCACUGUAAUGAUGCCUACCGGUUCCAGGGCCGUUGACGAGGACGUGCGAGGUGGGCGACCGCACAGGGCCCCCAAAAAUUAGGGGGCUUCGAAUCCUGUAUAUGUGUUCUUCGUCACCAUGGAUCUGAGAGUGCCUGAACUGCUCGUUUCGUACAUGGUCACGGCUGACGGCCGCACCGAUACGAGCGGCAUCCUUGGUUCCUUUGUGUGUCCUAGGGCGGCGAGGCCCAUGAUCUUGUACAUGGAGCAGUGCAGCAUCGUUGUUGUGCCUCUGCUGUCAUCCGUCACCAGAACAAGCAGGCAUGCACGUUUCCCUUGCCUGACGCAUUCCCAUAGUCCAUGUUUUGGAUCCAGAUUGAAGAGCAAGCUCGUGCUACAGCAGCAACCUAGUAGCAAAACUCUGAGCUUAGCCAGCAGGUCAACGAAUUACAAGAUCAACUACAAGCUGAACGUGCAAACACACAAGAGAGGAUUAACUUGGAGCGUGCUGAGAAAGAACAAUUUGGGGAGAGGUUAAAAGAAGAGCGUGCUGAAAGGGAAAUAUUGUUGGAAGAAGAGCGAACAUCAAGACUGUAAUUUGAAAAAAAACAUGAUGGCAAAUUUUGCAAAAUUGAGCCAACAGAUGGGAACCAGUAGGUGCCAACGAAGAGGAUUGACAAAGAAAAUAGUAGUCUUAACUUGUAAAAUACUCUUUUUUAGAGAUCUAGUCCUAAUAAGACUCUAGGUGCAAGGCUAACUGUUAUUUCUUCAAAUGUGCUCAUACAAGUUGAACAAGGAAUUCUCA